AGACCACCAGCUAAGGUCCCAAAAUAUAUGUUAAGUGGAAAAGGAUGUGGCGUUGCCCAGACAACUAGGAUGUUGGCUUAGAAGCAGCCAUCAUUUAAAGAGUGCGUAAUAGCUCACUAGUCGAGUGACACUGCGCCGAAAAUGUACCGGGGCUAAACAUAUUACCGAAGCUGUGGAUUGUCCUUUGGACAAUGGUAGGAGAGCGUUCUAAGGGCGUUGAAGCAUGAUCGUAAGGACAUGUGGAGCGCUUAGAAGUGAGAAUGCCGGUGUGAGUAGCGAAAGACGGGUGAGAAUCCCGUCCACCGAUUGACUAAGGUUUCCAGAGGAAGGCUCGUCCGCUCUGGGUUAGUCGGGUCCUAAGCUGAGGCCGACAGGCGUAGGCGAUGGAUAACAGGUUGAUAUUCCUGUACCACCUAUAAUCGUUUUAAUCGAUGGGGGGACGCAGUAGGAUAGGCGAAGCGUGCGAUUGGAUUGCACGUCUAA
Molecule: ribosomal RNA, 483 nt
Filed under: Staphylococcus aureus
Lineage: Bacteria; Bacillati; Bacillota; Bacilli; Caryophanales; Staphylococcaceae
Description: partial 23S ribosomal RNA
Rfam family: Bacterial large subunit ribosomal RNA
Source: RNAcentral